RNAcentral lists this ribosomal RNA (525 nucleotides) under uncultured bacterium. Its description in RNAcentral is "partial 16S ribosomal RNA". It matches the Rfam family "Bacterial small subunit ribosomal RNA", at positions 355 to 874 of the family's 1533-position model. The record is from RNAcentral.
UGGGGAAUUUUGGACAAUGGGCGAAAGCCUGAUCCAGCAAUGCCGCGUGUGUGAAGAAGGCCUUCGGGUUGUAAAGCACUUUUGUCCGGAAAGAAAUCCUUGGCUCUAAUACAGUCGGGGGAUGACGGUACCGGAAGAAUAAGCACCGGCUAACUACGUGCCAGCAGCCGCGGUAAUACGUAGGGUGCAAGCGUUAAUCGGAAUUACUGGGCGUAAAGCGUGCGCAGGCGGUUUGCUAAGACCGAUGUGAAAUCCCCGGGCUCAACCUGGGAACUGCAUUGGUGACUGGCAGGCUAGAGUAUGGCAGAGGGGGGUAGAAUUCCACGUGUAGCAGUGAAAUGCGUAGAGAUGUGGAGGAAUACCGAUGGCGAAGGCAGCCCCUGGGCCAAUACUGACGCUCAUGCACGAAAGCGUGGGGAGCAAACAGGAUUAGAUACCCUGGUAGUCCACGCCCUAAACGAUGUCAACUAGUUGUUGGGGAUUCAUUUCCUUAGUAACGUAGCUAACGCGUGAAGUUGACCGCCU